This 831-nucleotide ribosomal RNA is filed under the name Acinetobacter tjernbergiae. RNAcentral's name for it is "bacterial SSU rRNA". It matches the Rfam family "Bacterial small subunit ribosomal RNA", at positions 85 to 911 of the family's 1533-position model. Lineage: Bacteria; Pseudomonadati; Pseudomonadota; Gammaproteobacteria; Moraxellales; Moraxellaceae. The record is from RNAcentral.
CCUUAUCUUAGCGGCGGACGGGUGAGUAAUGCUUAGGAAUCUGCCUAUUAGUGGGGGACAACAUUCCGAAAGGAAUGCUAAUACCGCAUACGCCCUACGGGGGAAAGCAGGGGAUCUUCGGACCUUGCGCUAAUAGAUGAGCCUAAGUCGGAUUAGCUAGUUGGUGGGGUAAAGGCCUACCAAGGCGACGAUCUGUAGCGGGUCUGAGAGGAUGAUCCGCCACACUGGGACUGAGACACGGCCCAGACUCCUACGGGAGGCAGCAGUGGGGAAUAUUGGACAAUGGGCGGAAGCCUGAUCCAGCCAUGCCGCGUGUGUGAAGAAGGCCUUUUGGUUGUAAAGCACUUUAAGCGAGGAGGAGGCUACUUAGAUUAAUACUCUAGGAUAGUGGACGUUACUCGCAGAAUAAGCACCGGCUAACUCUGUGCCAGCAGCCGCGGUAAUACAGAGGGUGCGAGCGUUAAUCGGAUUUACUGGGCGUAAAGCGUGCGUAGGCGGCUGAUUAAGUCGGAUGUGAAAUCCCUGAGCUUAACUUAGGAAUUGCAUUCGAUACUGGUCAGCUAGAGUAUGGGAGAGGAUGGUAGAAUUCCAGGUGUAGCGGUGAAAUGCGUAGAGAUCUGGAGGAAUACCGAUGGCGAAGGCAGCCAUCUGGCCUAAUACUGACGCUGAGGUACGAAAGCAUGGGGAGCAAACAGGAUUAGAUACCCUGGUAGUCCAUGCCGUAAACGAUGUCUACUAGCCGUUGGGGCCUUUGAGGCUUUAGUGGCGCAGCUAACGCGAUAAGUAGACCGCCUGGGGAGUACGGUCGCAAGACUAAAACUCAAAUGAAUU